Poecilia latipinna (sailfin molly) is the source of this 501-nucleotide long non-coding RNA. RefSeq lists it as uncharacterized. The transcript has 2 exons. The record is from RefSeq and is a predicted model, not a curated record. NCBI's taxonomy places the organism in Eukaryota, Metazoa, Chordata, Actinopteri, Cyprinodontiformes, Poeciliidae.
GCUUACACAGGGGCCGUAUCACACACAUUAUGCAGGCUGCAGGGAGACAAGCUUGUUAAUUUCAGGCUAUAUACUGUAGUAUUUUCUGCCAGCCGCAAGUAAUGCUCCUGUGAGAAACAAGUAAUACCGGACAUCUGGUCACCGAGAAAAAUGGUUAGCCUGAGUUUUUAGUUAAGUUUUUUAUUUUGAAAGGCCAGAGCACGGGGGCGUGGCUUUCCACCGCAGCCAUACCUGUCUCAUCUCUGGACCAGUAAGAUGGCUUCCAUUGCACUGCGCCUCCAGCAGCGACAAACAGAGGCGGCUCUUAGGAGGAGAGGUUUCAGCUCCAGGUUUGGAUGCAGCUUCCCAGAAUCUCCCAGUGAUCCUCUUCUUCCUCCUGACAUCGUCUUCCUCACUGUCUCCUCAUCUUUUAUAAAUUAUAGGAAUAUUUUUUCAUGAUUCCCCAAACAUUGGCUGAAUAUCUGCUUGUAUGUUAUUGUAAUAAAUACAUUUUUAUGAAAA